AGUGAACGCUGGCGGUAGGCCUAACACAUGCCAGUCGAACGGCAGCACAGUAAGAGCUUGCUCUUACGGGUGGCGAGUGGCGGACGGGUGAGGAAUACAUCGGAAUCUACUUUUUCGUGGGGGAUAACGUAGGGAAACUUACGCUAAUACCGCAUACGACCUACGGGUGAAAGCAGGGGAUCUUCGGACCUUGCGCGAUUGAAUGAGCCGAUGUCGGAUUAGCUAGUUGGCGGGGUAAAGGCCCACCAAGGCGACGAUCCGUAGCUGGUCUGAGAGGAUGAUCAGCCACACUGGAACUGAGACACGGUCCAGACUCCAACGGGAGGCAGCAGUGGGGAAUAUUGGACAAUGGGCGCAAGCCUGAUCCAGCCAUACCGCGUGGGUGAAGAAGGCCUUCGGGUUGUAAAGCCCUUUUGUUGGGAAAGAAAAGCAGCAGGUUAAUACCCCGCUGUUCUGACGGUACCCAAAGAAUAAGCACCGGCUAACUUCGUG
This 492-nucleotide ribosomal RNA is filed under the name uncultured bacterium. Its description in RNAcentral is "partial 16S ribosomal RNA". It matches the Rfam family "Bacterial small subunit ribosomal RNA", at positions 29 to 507 of the family's 1533-position model. The record is from RNAcentral.